Molecule: long non-coding RNA, 1016 nt
Organism: Lactuca sativa (garden lettuce)
Lineage: Eukaryota; Viridiplantae; Streptophyta; Magnoliopsida; Asterales; Asteraceae
Source: RefSeq, a predicted model, not a curated record
UAUUAAAAUGAAAUCAACCAAAUUAUCACAAACCCUAUCACUCUGUCUCUCAUACUUGCCGUCUUCAUCAUUCUCCCAUCACCACCAUCUUCGUUUCAUCAGUUCCGGCCAAAUCACGACCAUAAAAUCACGCCAACAAAGAAACGGUCACCAUACAAGACCGUCGGACCACCACUGGUUCAACACGGGCUCACCAGGACCCUCCUUCAACAUCUUCCAACCACCGUCUACCCUUUCAAUCCUUUGUUCUUCAUCUCUCCUAUCAUGAAAACAUAAUAGGGUUUGAGUAUGGAAUGGAUUCGAAACAGAGAAAUCCACCGCCAAAACCCCGAUCCCCAAAUCACAGAUAGCUGUUGUGGCGGCUGACACGAAGCAGUCUUCACCUCCGGUUGCAUCAGGGUUUCAUCAUGUUGUUUAUAGAUGGAUUGCCAUUGACUAAUGGCGGUGCUAAUGUGAUGGGGAAGCCGAUGCCUAGGGCUCAAUGGGACUCGGGGCUAUUCGCGUGUCUUCGUCGUAACGAUGAGUUUUGUACCAGCGAUCUUGAAGUCUCCACGACAAUGCAGGUGAAGGGAAAAAGCCAAGGGGUUGCUGCCUCUUUUGAUUUCAUCGGAAACACAACCCCAUCCUAGUGGUUAUUCUUGGCAGGGAACGAAGAAGAAGAAAGGGAAAGAAGGAGCAUAAAUUAGUUCAUCAAUUUCAACAACAAAAAGUGGGUUCAAUGGAGGUUUCAUGGGUCUUGAUUUACUCGAAAUUCAACAACUAACGAUGACUAGAAAGAUACAAUGAAUAAACAUGCAUAUAGUGGGAGGUGGGAGAUUUACCAAAUGAAACAUCGACACCAAUACUCUUUCGGAAGAAGCGCAAAUGUGUUUUAUUCAUUUAUGGUUGUAAUUGUAGUACUAGUUUCCGUUUCAAAAAAAUAUAUAUUGUAACUUAUUCAUUUACUAUUAUAAUUAUAUUCUUAUAUGAAUAGAGAUGUGUUUUAUUGAUUUAUAUAUGAGUACGAUUUUAGUUGA